This is a long non-coding RNA of Amphiprion ocellaris (clown anemonefish), 2367 nucleotides long. NCBI's taxonomy places the organism in Eukaryota, Metazoa, Chordata, Actinopteri, Pomacentridae. The record is from Ensembl.
UGUGUGUCAGCGUGUGUUGGCUAGUGUGUGUUAAUGUGUGUAGGCGUGUGUGUGUCAGCGUGUGUUGGCUAGCGUGUGUUAAUGUGUGUAGGCGUGUGUGUGUGUGUCAGCGUGUGUUGGCUAGCGUGUGUUAAUGUGUGUAGGCGUGUGUGUGUUGGCUAGUGUGUGUUAAUGUGUGUAGACGUGUGUGUGUCAGCGUGUAUUGGCUAGCGUGUGUUAAUGUGUGUAGGCAUGUGUUAAUGUGUGUCAGCGUGUGUUGGCUAGCGUGUGUUAAUGUGUGUAGGCGUGUGUGUGUCAGCAUGUGUUGGCUAGCGUGUGUUAAUGUGUGUAGACGUGUGUGUGUCAGCGUGUAUUGGCUAGCGUGUGUUAAUGUGUGUAGGCGUGUGUGUGUUGGCUAGCGUGUGUUAAUGUGUGUAGGCAUGUGUGUGUUGGCUAGCGUGUGUUAAUGUGUGUAGGCCUGUGUGUGUCAGCGUGUAUUGGCUAGCGUGUGUUAAUGUGUGUAGGCAUGUGUUAAUAUGUGUCAGCGUGUGUUGGCUAGCGUGUGUUAAUGUGUGUAGGCGUGUGUGUGUCAGCGUGUGUUGGCUAGCGUGUGUUAAUGUGUGUAGGCGUGUGUGUGUCAGCGUGUGUUGGCUAGCGUGUGUUAAUGUGUGUAGGCGUGUGUGUGUCAGCGUGUGUUGGCUAGCGUGUGUUAAUGUGUGUAGGCGUGUGUGUGUCAGCGUGUAUUGGCUAGCGUGUGUUAAUGUGUGUAUAAAUAGCUGCUACAUCUGGAUUCAUGCAUCUUUAAUGACUCUUCAUGAAUAUAAUCGUCGUCUCCUCUGUCUCUGCUCCUCUACACACUCCUGAUUUCUCCUCUUUGUCUUUCCAUCGUUACUUCAUCUUCUGUUUCAUUCUUCAAGUCUUUUCUUCUCCACUGAAUGUUGGAUUCGGUUCUUUCUGACUGAUGAAGACCAUGUUGUGAGGUUGAAAUCUCCAGAGCUCUGCAGGUUUCUGGGUCAUUUAUCUAUGAAUUAUUGGUCUUUAUUGAUCACUUUAAUCAUUAACAGUUUAUUGUCUAAUCAGCUGUUAGUUACAACAAUAAAAACUUUAAGAUAAUCUGAUUCGACCUCAGAGUUUAGAGUCGUCCGAUCCAGGAGUUUAGCUGAUCGGCAUCGAGCCUCAACUAAAUUCUUAGUUUACAUCAGCUGGUGUUCGGAGGAGCUUCAGGAGAAACCAGGCGGACUUCUUGGGAAGACGUUUUCUAGAAAUGUCUUCCAGAUUGCAUUUAAAAAGUGGAACAUUUCAGGUCAUUAACCUUCUCAGAAGUCUUUGUCAUGGUGCCUGUUGCUGCUAAACUCCCACAGUGCUCUCUGCUUUAACUGUAGUCUGAGUGACGCCUCAUCUGGUUUCUAUAGGAUUAAACAGGAAGAGGCUCCACCUGGUGGAACAACCAGGAACUACAGCUGAUCUACAUUUACUGACAUCAUGGAGAGAAAACAGGUUUACUGCAGUACAUCCUAUCAUCUAGUACUACAUUUACCCUCUAGUACUGCAUUCAGACAGUGUCCUACUGGAACUUUACAAGGUUCCACCUACAGAACGAGCAGAUAGACUGAGUUAAUUUACAUAAACUUUAAUCAAAGUGUGUAUUAUCAGUAGUUGGGCCUCGGUAUCAACAGAUGGUGGAUAUUAAAUGAUUUAUAUCCGAUCAGGACGGUCCUACUCCUGCCUCCCUUCCAGAUUAAAGGCUGUGGUUCUCUGCUGAUCUGAGGUCAGUUAACUCUCCUUAUUAAAGCAUCGUGUCCCAGCAUGCUUCACUGUGACGUCUGGACUCUGGAUGUGACACUAAAGUUGGAAACUCAUGACGUCUAAUUUUCCUGAAUUCACAUUAAAGUCAAGUUUAUCUUGAGUUUGUUUCUGGACAGAAACUCUGAGACCAAACCAGAUGUGGGUUCAUGUCGAAUGUUUUCUUUCUGUCUGAUCUCCGUCUGAAUGUUCCGUAUUUGGAUGAAGUUAAACAUUCAGGACUCGGCAUCAACGCCUCAAACUAAAAAUCCACGUUUUUCUUUUUUUCCUCUGAGGAAGGAAACGUUUGUUUCUCCUCGAAAACGUUCCAGAUCUGGGAAUGUUUGGGUUGAAGAUCAGUGGCUCUGAACAGGACUGAAGCCAGGAGGGCGGCGCUUCCUCACGGCAGACUCACCUGAGGACACCUGAGGAUGAAUGUACUGUGGAACGAAGCUGUUUCAGCAUGACGUUCAGGUGAUUGUAGCCCCGCCUCCCUGCUCUCCACCCACAGGUGCUGCUCGCCGCUGUUUGUUCCAUAGCAGAGAAAGACUGUUAAACUUUACUGAUUUUAUUUUCUCAAUUUGUAAACCAAUGUAUAUUUUAAAA